Molecule: ribosomal RNA, 292 nt
Filed under: uncultured bacterium
Lineage: Bacteria
Description: partial 16S ribosomal RNA
Rfam family: Bacterial small subunit ribosomal RNA
Source: RNAcentral
GUGUCAGCAGCCGCGGUAAUACGAGGGGUGCAAGCGUUAUUCGGAAUGAUUGGGCGUAAAGGGUGCGUAGGCGGUCUGCUAAGUCAAUUGUUUAAUCUCCCGGCCUAACCGGGAAUCAGCAGUAGAUACUGGCGAACUAGAGGGUGGAAGAGAGAAGUGGAAUUCUCGGAGUAGCGGUAAAAUGCGUAGAUCUCGAGAGGAACACCGAUGGCGAAGGCAGCUUCUUGGUCCACAUCUGACGCUGAAGCACGAAAGCGUGGGGAGCAAACAGGAUUAGAUACCCCCGUAGUCC